RNAcentral lists this long non-coding RNA (498 nucleotides) under Volvox carteri. RNAcentral's name for it is "long non-coding RNA (VCAR_LNC004082)". The record is from RNAcentral. Lineage: Eukaryota; Viridiplantae; Chlorophyta; Chlorophyceae; Chlamydomonadales; Volvocaceae.
CACGGUUGACUGGCGAACUUGCGUUGUCUGGAUUUAGCGCUUUGUUCUCAGCUAAUCUUUGUAACGAACUACAGUAUCAGUCCCUGUCCUCUGGCCAGUUCUGGUCUGCGCCUUCCUGCGCCGCACUUGCCGUACUGCACUACAGGACGAGCACUUAAUCAACAUGCAUUGCUUAAACGUCAUCGCGUGAUCCGUACUCCCUACUAACUUAUUGUGGGGAAGGCCAUUGCGUCUGCGACCACACUCCCGCGGUACCCAAACCCUUCAAAGACAACUCCGAUCAGCCCCAACACACACCGCGGAGCGGUCUCUCCCCCCCCACAUACUUCCCAGGUGGUACCCUGGGUCCUCUCGCUCACCAGCCCCUCCUCUCCUUGGCCCUUGUGACAUCUGCCAGGCGUUCUUGCUGCACAGGCCGGUAUUUCAGAAAACAAGGAAAGUACAUCAGAUGAAUGCAGAGGCGCAGCUUGCCCUCCUUUCCCACCACUCGCAGGCCGU